This 482-nucleotide ribosomal RNA is filed under the name uncultured bacterium. RNAcentral describes it as "partial 16S ribosomal RNA". It matches the Rfam family "Bacterial small subunit ribosomal RNA", at positions 30 to 507 of the family's 1533-position model. The record is from RNAcentral.
AUUGAACGCUGGCGGCAUGCCCUACACAUGCAAGUCGAACGGUCACGCGGGGCACUUUGGCGACGAGCGGUGAACGGGUGCGUAAUGCAUAGGCACGUGCCCAGUAGCGGGGGAUAGGCCGGCGAUAGCCGGAUUAAUACCUAAUGCGAGCUGAGGGUGUAAGCGGGGGAUUGCAAGACCUCGCGCCUUUGGUGCGGUCGAUGUCAGAUUAGCUAGUUGGUGGGGUAAAGGCUUACCAAGGCGACGAUCUGUAGCUGAUCUGAGAGGACGACCAGCCACACUGGAACUGAGACACGGCCCAGACUCCUACGGGAGGCAGCAGUAGGGAAUUUUGGGCAAUGGGCGCAAGCCUGACCCAGCCAUGCCGCGUGCGUGAAGAAGGCCUUCGGGUUGUAAACCGCUUUUAUCAGGGAAGAAACGCUCUGUACGAAUACCCUGAGGUAAUGACGGUACCUGAAGAAUAAGCACCGGCUAACUACGUG